This is a long non-coding RNA of Lytechinus pictus (painted urchin), 2595 nucleotides long. RefSeq lists it as uncharacterized. The record is from RefSeq and is a predicted model, not a curated record. The transcript is spliced from 3 exons. NCBI's taxonomy places the organism in Eukaryota, Metazoa, Echinodermata, Echinoidea, Temnopleuroida, Toxopneustidae.
AGUCAAUGGUCGCGUUUGGGCGUUGGGGGAUCAUGUCGGGAUAGAGCGAUCCAAUUCUCGUCAUGCAAGAGUGAACCGCUCGUUCGGAAUAUACACGCCGAGCAAAGUCCACAUAUUUUUGGACCUCAAUGUAGACGCCAAUUAUUUAUUGUGUACUUUGAUCACAAGCUGGGAAGAUUAUAACCCGAGUCCCUCCAUAUACCACUGCUUUGCUGUGCCUACGAACAAAGGGCGGGGUAACUUGCGCCCUGUAAACCAAUUUUGUAUCUCUUUCCUUUUUCAAUCUGCUGCAUUAUAUUACCAGCGGCGCCACCGCACAGAUACAUUGGACGCAGUAUAUCCAAAGCACGCGAAGGUGUUGAUAAACGCAGUUUGGAAUCAGACCAGGAAAAGGGAAGACCAAAAUCCGUGCUGAAACAUUGGAAACGGAUCAACCACAAUAAGGAAAUAUCAAAGAUUGCAUGAACUCCUCGUCAGUCACGCAACCUAGCUGCAUUCGAGGAAUAUACAAUAUCGCAAAACCGACCAACAAGCCUUCUUCAGGGAAAUAAUAUAUAUCCUGAUCAACGUAUAUGUUAUAAAUUGGAGUACGGUUUAGAUUGGAUAUAUUUUUUUUCAACCAGCUAGUUCUUUGGUAUAAUUCGAGAUGGCUUCUUCCUCAACACAAAUGGCUCUGCACAAGAACAUUGAUCAACUUCAGAGGGAACUCAAUAUAGAGAGGGUCAAAGUAUCACAGUGUACAGCUGACCUCGUUCAGUACUGCGAGCAGGAAGUAGGAAACGACUUUCUCUUGACACGGGAACUCCAUCCGGGUCAAAUCAACAACUACAAAGACAAAAAAGGAGGAUGUACUCUACUCUAGUUCUUUCAUUCAUCUUUACUUCUGCACAAGAUUCACAUAUAUCUGAUGGCAUAUAUCAUACACACCGAGCAGACUGAAUGUAUAUCUACAGAGUCCUAUUGUAAAUACGAAUGGAUACAUGUACUAAUUCACACAAAAUCCCAUUUUUAUAAUCAUAUUUAAUGUUCUGUGAAUAUUUUUGAAUGAUCAAUUUUGUGUCUUUCCUAAAUGACUAAUCAGAUGUUAUCUUCCCAUAUUGGCAUGAAGUUUUGAUGUCAACUUUGAAAAAAAGGAGAGAAUAUUGUAAUUUUUUACGAUGAAAUUAUGAGAGAAAUUAUUUAGUAUGAUUUGCACUCAUUUCGCCAACAUAUUUUUACAAAAAGCAUUUUAGGAUUACUUUUCAUUUUACCGCGUAUUCUUGGAUUUUCGUGUGUGAUAAACUCAUUUUUACUUCAAUAUUUUGAUAGACUAUAUGCGUCUUUUGCUCAUUUUUUAUUUCAAUGUAUGUUUUGCCCUCUUGAUAAUAAUUAUUUUACUUUUAGUCUAAAACAUGUAAGCCCGAAUAAACGUUAUUUAUGUAGUUGUUUCUUGAACUUUUGUUCCUUUUCAAACAAAAAAUACCGGAAUAUCUGACGCAAGGCAAGUUUUAACAUACAAAAUGUUGUGCAUUUCCCGAGACGUGGUUACUUGAUGAUCAUGUUAGAGUUGGACAGUAUCAUGAAGUAUACAUAUAUUUUGCCUUAAAAAUGGAUAACAAUAUCACUUAACUUUAAGAAAACCAACAAAGAGUUUGUAAUGAAUUAAGUCGUUGGACUCAUUUUUAAGUGUGUUUUUAUGACAUUUUAUCAGAGCUUUUCAGUUUUAUUCUCUUGUCCCUAAGUUUUGUUAUUUCAUUUUUUUAAAGUCACUCCUUUACCCUUUCAUAUGGACUCUACACUGGUAAAACUGCACUAAAAAACACUGGUGUUGAUUUAACACCAUUCCAGUAUCUAUACCGGAAAAUACAGGGAAGUGCUAGUAGAAGCAUCACCAGUUUCAGAAUCAAACCGAUAUUGGUUUAACACUGAUUAGUGUUGUUUAAAUGCCUAUCUGGUGUUGGCCUAAAGCCGGACUGGUGCUGUUUCAACGCCUCUACAGGUAUUUUCCGAUAUAUAUAGAUACCGAGCUGGUGUUAAAUUUACACCGGUACUUUUGCAGUGUGAGGUGUUACACCUAAAUCCAAUUACAGUCAUCUCAGAGGACCAUAUUAACUUGAGAUAUUAAAAUUGCACCCAAUAGAUUGAACAUACAUACAUUGUAACACCAGGAUGUUAAAGUAACAACCAAAGGUGUUGUACUACGAUAGCACCUCAGUAUGUUGAACUUAACACCAAAACUUCAACACCGGUGUAAAAUGACUUGUGUGCAUGUCUUCACCACAGUUUUUGUUUCGUAUCUUUCAUAUGUUAAUGUUGACAUUUUAUGUUACAGUGAUUGCCCAAAAUAUGAAGAAUUUUCUUGUUUUAUAGUUUCCCAUUACAACUUGUCUAUUCUCUAUAAUUCUUUGUCACCGACAGUACUUUUGUAGAUUAUCUUUCCAGAAAGGUAGUUGAGUUUGACGUCAUAAUGAUUCCUCAAACAGUUUUUCUUAUACUUGGGUGUUUCGUUGUGGAAACAGAAUGUAUACUGCAUAGCUGCUUGUAUUCGCCUUACCAACAUUUUAUUGUAAUUUGUUGUAACCACUAUUCGUUAAAUAAAACUUGAAUACUUCUUAA